Molecule: non-coding RNA, 101 nt
Organism: Populus trichocarpa (black cottonwood)
Lineage: Eukaryota; Viridiplantae; Streptophyta; Magnoliopsida; Malpighiales; Salicaceae
Source: Rfam
UGAGAUUGCAAUGAGGAUUUACAGCUCCCUCUUCUGAUUCAAAGUUGAGGAAAUUAGCUGGCAGAAUCGAACCAAUUUAAUUUCAAGCCAUCACUGAGUAA